UUAGGUUAUAAUCAACUUUUUGUUAUAUUUCGUUUGUACUUCGGGUACGCAAAAUCUGUAUAUGCAGAACAAAAAUCUCAGGUACUUCAAGUUUAUAAACAAGAACACAAUGAAAAAUACCCUCAACACAAGAUCAAAAUGACCUUUCCAAGAGGUGUAUUUUAUUUUUCAGAAAAAUAGAUGAAACAGAAAAUAGCCAAGUCGUCCGAAUUCACGGAGUUUCCUUAAGGAAAUAAUCCCCCUCACUGUACCCGAGGUUGUGGAAUUUUUCCUCCCAGGAUAAAAUGGCUAAAUAGACCAACUGUAGCGGUACCUCAAACGGUUGGAAUAUCUUCGGAUGAGAUCAAAAUGACCUUUCCAAGAGGUGUAUUUUAUUUUUCAGAAAAAUAGAUGAAACAGAAAAUAGCCAAGUCGUCCGAAUUCACGGAGUUUCCUUAAGGAAAUAAUCCCCCUCACUGUACCCGAGGUUGUGGAAUUUUUCCUCCCAGGAUAAAAUGGCUAAAUAGACCAACUGUAGCGGUACC
This 524-nucleotide long non-coding RNA is filed under the name Capsicum annuum. RNAcentral describes it as "long non-coding RNA (CANN_LNC000681)". The record is from RNAcentral. Lineage: Eukaryota; Viridiplantae; Streptophyta; Magnoliopsida; Solanales; Solanaceae.